CUUCUACUUCCAUGAUGAAUUUACCUGGUUGAAAGGUGCUGGCCUUUUCACAAUCAUGAUUGGUGUUAGUUUAUUCAAUUGGUACAAAUACCAAAAGCUGAAGAAGGGUAAAAACAGUGAAGAUGACAGUGUGGGACCACUCACUACAAAUGUUUCUGCCAAGUAUGUGAUUAUUGAGGAGGAUGAACAUGAUGAAGGUGCUUGAGAGCCUUAGCAAUCACAUUGCCUGUAUUCGAAGUGAAGCUUGUAUGAAACACCAGUUUAGUUAGUUUCAGCUUCACAGUAUAUAUGAAUUCCUAUGCUCUUCGAGCUUUUGAUCUUGUAGUCUGUACUUCCUCUUUUGGGUUGGCGGUAAAAAUUGGAUGUCUUCCUGCUCUAAUAGGAGUCAAGUUAACAAUUUGUCAACGUCAACUGCUUACAUGCAAUCAACAGAUUUUGAAUGGUUGGAGCUAGAGGUUAAGUCGCUUUUGUUUGAGGCCCAUGGCUUGUCCUCAUGUUUUCUUUACCAUCAAAUUUUCAUUUAGAUUGAUGUGUUAGUAAGAAUCAUGAU
Quercus lobata is the source of this 550-nucleotide long non-coding RNA. RefSeq lists it as uncharacterized. The record is from RefSeq and is a predicted model, not a curated record. Lineage: Eukaryota; Viridiplantae; Streptophyta; Magnoliopsida; Fagales; Fagaceae. The transcript is spliced from 4 exons.